CGGCCAGACUCCUACGGGAGGCAGCAGUGAGGAAUAUUGGUCAAUGGGCGGAAGCCUGAACCGGCCAAGUCGCGUGAGGGAAUAAGGCCCUACGGGUCGUAAACCUCUUUUGCCGGGGAGCAAGGGCGGGGACGUGUCCCGGCCCGGAGAGUACCCGGAGAAAAAGCAUCGGCUAACUCCGUGCCAGCAGCCGCGGUAAUACGGAGGAUGCGAGCGUUAUCCGGAUUUAUUGGGUUUAAAGGGUGCGUAGGCGGGCUUUUAAGUCAGCGGUAAAAUCGCGGGGCCCAACCUCGCUCCGCCGUUGAAACUGGCGUUCUUGAGUGGGCGAGAAGUAUGCGGAAUGCGUGGUGUAGCGGUGAAAUGCAUAGAUAUCACGCAGAACUCCGAUUGCGAAGGCAGCGCACCGGCGCCCUACUGACGCUCAGGCACGAAAGCGUGGGUAUCGAACAGGAUUAGAUACCCUGGUACC
RNAcentral lists this ribosomal RNA (469 nucleotides) under uncultured bacterium. RNAcentral's name for it is "bacterial SSU rRNA". It matches the Rfam family "Bacterial small subunit ribosomal RNA", at positions 328 to 796 of the family's 1533-position model. The record is from RNAcentral.